RNAcentral lists this ribosomal RNA (501 nucleotides) under uncultured bacterium. RNAcentral's name for it is "partial 16S ribosomal RNA". It matches the Rfam family "Bacterial small subunit ribosomal RNA", at positions 30 to 523 of the family's 1533-position model. The record is from RNAcentral.
AUUGAACGCUGGCGGCAUGCCUUACACAUGCGAGUCGAACGGCAGCACGGGUGCUUUCACCUGGUGGCGAGUGGCGAACGGGUGAGUAAUACAUCGGAACGUACCUUAUCGUGGGGGAUAACGCAGCGAAAGUUGCGCUAAUACCGCAUAAGCCCUGAGGGGGAAAGCGGGGGACCGUAAGGCCUCGCGCGAUUAGAGCGGCCGAUGUCUGAUUAGCUUGUUGGUGUGGUAAAAGCCCACCAAGGCGACGAUCAGUAGCUGGUCUGAGAGGACGGUCAGCCACACUGGGACUGAGACACGGCCCAGACUCCUACGGGAGGCAGCAGUGGGGAAUUUUGGACAAUGGGGGCAACCCUGAUCCAGCAAUGCCGCGUGAGUGAAGAAGGCCUUCGGGUUGUAAAGCUCUUUUGUCAGGGAAGAAACACCGGCUCUAACACAGUCCGGGAAUGACGGUACCUGAAGAAUAAGCACCGGCUAACUACGUGCCAGCCGCCGCGGUAA